This 465-nucleotide ribosomal RNA is filed under the name uncultured Klebsiella sp. Its description in RNAcentral is "bacterial SSU rRNA". It matches the Rfam family "Bacterial small subunit ribosomal RNA", at positions 338 to 795 of the family's 1533-position model. Lineage: Bacteria; Pseudomonadati; Pseudomonadota; Gammaproteobacteria; Enterobacterales; Enterobacteriaceae. The record is from RNAcentral.
CCUACGGGUGGCUGCAGUGGGGAAUAUUGCACAAUGGGCGCAAGCCUGAUGCAGCCAUGCCGCGUGUGUGAAGAAGGCCUUCGGGUUGUAAAGCACUUUCAGCGGGGAGGAAGGCGGUGAGGUUAAUAACCUCAUCGAUUGACGUUACCCGCAGAAGAAGCACCGGCUAACUCCGUGCCAGCAGCCGCGGUAAUACGGAGGGUGCAAGCGUUAUUCGGAAUUACUGGGCGUAAAGCGCACGCAGGCGGUCUGUCAAGUCGGAUGUGAAAUCCCCGGGCUCAACCUGGGAACUGCAUUCGAAACUGGCAGGCUAGAGUCUUGUAGAGGGGGGUAGAAUUCCAGGUGUAGCGGUGAAAUGCGUAGAGAUCUGGAGGAAUACCGGUGGCGAAGGCGGCCCCCUGGACAAAGACUGACGCUCAGGUGCGAAAGCGUGGGGAGCAAACAGGAUUAGAUACCCCAGUAGUC